RNAcentral lists this small nucleolar RNA (135 nucleotides) under Mandrillus leucophaeus (drill). RNAcentral's name for it is "Small nucleolar RNA U109 (ENSMLEG00000010004.1)". It matches the Rfam family "Small nucleolar RNA U109". Lineage: Eukaryota; Metazoa; Chordata; Mammalia; Primates; Cercopithecidae. The record is from Rfam by way of RNAcentral.
UUGCAUGUGGAAAUGUCUGCUCCUCAUUCCUUUGGGAGCAGGAAUAUACUCAUAACAUGCUACAUUAACAAAGGAGUUCUCAGGGCUGCCAACUUUCUAGUAAAGGUUGAGUGGUAGUAUAGUUCUCCUACAUAA